UAGCUUUUGAAAUGACCCAAAUUCCUUUAAUUUUGUUGUUUUUAAGGAAAGGUCAAAUAAUUGGGGAAAAAAAACUUUCGAUGAGGAGUUAUACUAAGGAUUUACAAAAAAGCACACUUUGUUGAUAAAAUAUGAACUGUUUGAAAGAUUUAUAAGAGUCUAAGAUCCUGCAUAGCCCUUCAGAAUUUGAAGCAGCAGGAAACCACUGUGAUAUUUUUAAAGCAAGUAUUUAUAAAAGUAAUUGGGUACUCUUGAUGUGGAAUAAGGAGGAAAAAAAUAACGGUAAGGAAGCUAUAUUGGACUUGACAUAAAAGUGAGGUAUGUAAUUUGGGAGCAGAAGGAAGGGCAAGUGACGCGUACACACAGUACCUGCGGGCCUCUCGCCCUGCAGAGCUGAAGGCAGGACAGAAUGGUGCUGGAGGGAGGAGGGCUCUUCAAAGCCCAUGAGCAGUGCUCAGGUAUUGCAGCUAAUGUCUGAAACCCCAGUGUAAAACUCCAAGGCCCUCUAAAACAGAUUCCAUGCAAACGGGACAGAAAACACAUGUUUCUGAGAACAUUUUGGUUAAAAUUAAAAAAUGUGGCAGAGAUUGUGCCAAUGAUUUACUCGAGAAUAUCCGAACCAGAUGCUGCUAGCCCGUAAUUCCAAGUAAUUUGCCAAAAUUAUGUAUUUACUUUAAUCCUAGAGAUGAAGUUAAAAUAUGCAUGGUUUUUGUUAUUUGUGAUGUAGAAGAAAAAAAAAAUCUGAUAUGACUUCAGCUAAUACCGGAUAGAAGACAAAGAAAUGGGCAAGGAUGAAGCCUGGCUCACUAGCAUGGCAUGUAAAACUUCCUGCCCAAUGGACCUGUACUUGGCACACAGGCUCCAAGAAGUGUUCGGAGGUUUCUGAAAUGUGCUACCUGUCCAGUUUCAAGAAAACUUCAAAAAGUAAGACACCUCCUCCCCGCCCCCCACCACCGCCUUGGGGACAAGAACCGUACCAGCUAUCAGACACACUUGAGACUGCAGUCAUUGUUCCAGCCAGAAGAGCCCAGCCCAAGAAUGUAUGUCUGUCAUUAAAUGAAGGAUCUCAAAAUGACAUCAUCCUGGAUUGCCUGGGUGAGCUCUGAAUCCAACAACAAACGUCCUUUAAGAGAUACACAGAAAAGAAACACGUGAGGAGAAGAGGAGAUGGCCGCGAGAAGAUGGAGGGAGAGAUUGGAAUGACGCAGCCAUGCACCAGAGAGCACGUGGGGCCAUCAGGAGAUGAAAGAGGCAAGGAUGACUCUACCCUAGAGCUUUUGGAGGGAGCGUGGCCCUGUCCACACCUUGAUUUUGGACUCCCCCAGAACUAUGGGAGAAUACAUUUUUGUUGU
Molecule: long non-coding RNA, 1352 nt
Organism: Capra hircus (goat)
Lineage: Eukaryota; Metazoa; Chordata; Mammalia; Artiodactyla; Bovidae
Exons: 4
Source: RefSeq, a predicted model, not a curated record